Long non-coding RNA from Varanus komodoensis (Komodo dragon), 1397 nucleotides. RefSeq lists it as uncharacterized. The transcript has 4 exons. NCBI's taxonomy places the organism in Eukaryota, Metazoa, Chordata, Lepidosauria, Squamata, Varanidae. The record is from RefSeq and is a predicted model, not a curated record.
UCUGGGCUGCAAUAAGCUCAAAAACAUUUUGUUCUGCCCAGCAUUUUGAUUGCCUGAUCCUGCUUUCUUUGUAUUUGCAGUUUUUAAAACUUAAUAAUUAACCUUGGUGUAUUUAUUGUUUUAAGUACAUACCACCCUGGUAUCUAUAAGGAUGUAGAAUGUAUUAAAAUAUUUUUUAAAAAGUUAAUUACUAGAGGCAUUCAAAAAGAAACUGGACAGCCAUCUGAGUGGGGUGGUGUAACUUGGUGUCCUGCAACAACAGAGGGUUGGACUCGAUGGCCUUCAUGGCCCUUUCCAGAUCUAUGAUUCUAUGAUUGAAAUGUUGGUGACUGGGCGGUAUCUUUCACCACACCCAUAGGUGGUAGUCUACAUUAAGGAAAUGUAGGGUAGUCUGUGUGAUGCAUAUCCACAGUUCUUUUCUCCAGCAUCUUGCCCUUAGGGUUCCAGGUCCCUCAGCAUUUGCCUCCUCACCCUGCCAAAUGGUGAGGCUGGCCCUGUGACAUCUGAACAGCUGAGCCAGAGCUAUGAAGUGGAACAGCAUCAUAGCAGUUCAUGUGGUCAGAUGCUGUGUGAGAACUGAAAAUGGCACAGCUGAUUUUUUCAUGAUUGAUACUGGUGUCAGACGGGGCUGUAUAUUAUCCCCAUUUUUAUUUUUUGAUCAUUAUGGAUUAUACCAUGAAAAAAGGAAUGAAAAACUCAGACUUCCUCAUCCUGUGGAAAAGAACAAGGCAAUUUGACCGACUUGGAUUUUGCUGAUGACAUUACUUUACUUGCAAAUACUGUAGCGCAGCUGAGAGACAUGACACGUGCACUUGAAACAGAGGUGAUGAGGUGAGGAAGACCAAAAAAGACCUGGCGUCAAACAUGAAUGACCUAAAUAUCAAUCCUGAAUGGCAGGAUAAAGACACUGUUGCUGCGGACCAACCACUAUGGAAGACACUUGUAGCCCGAUUUGCCUUGCACAGGACGUAAAGAAGAAGAAGAAAAGCAGAGUGCCCCUUGCAACACUGCCCAGCAAGUUUUAUGUUUAUUUUAAUUGCACAGCCAAAUGUGCAGGAAAAAAAAGAAAGAAACAGAAGCACAGUGUGGUCUGAAGCACAACAGGGAGGAUGGGGCAGGUGAUCCGGCACUCCUGCUUCAGAAGAGACCUUUGUAACAGGAGGCAAGUACACCUGACUCACUCUGUACUCUUGCACUUUUCUUGGAGCAGCCCUGCUGAGCCAAAUGCCAACUAGAGUUCUCACGCAGGAGGCAGUAAGAGCAAGCCGCUUGGCAGUGCUGACCUGUUCUUAGGGCAGCUGCAGUGAACAAGUUGCCGGUUUCCACCUCCUGCCUCAGAGCUGUACUCCCAGGCAGAAAGCAGGAGGGAUGGGUCCUUGAUUAGUCUGGCAGAGCUU